AUUGAACGCUGGCGGCAGGCCUAAUACAUGCAAGUCGAGCGGAGCGGCGGACGGGUGAGUAAUGCCUAGGAAGCUGCCCGGUAGUGGGGGAUAACGUCCGGAAACGGGCGCUAAUACCGCAUACUAUCAGAUGAGUCUAGGUUGGAUUAGCUAGUUGGUGGGGUAAAGGCAUACCAAGGUGACGAUCCGUAACUGGUCUGAGAGGAUGAUCGGUCAUACUGGAAGUGAGACACGGUCCAGACUCCUACGGGAGGCAGCAGUGGGGAAUAUUGGGCAAUGGGCGAAAGGCUGAUCCAGCCAUGCCGCGUGUGUGAAGAAGGUCUUCGGAUUGUAAAGCACUUUAAGUUGGGAAGCGUUACCUACAGAAUAAGCGCCGGCUAACUUCGUGCCAGCAGCCGCGGUAAUAC
This 407-nucleotide ribosomal RNA is filed under the name uncultured bacterium. Its description in RNAcentral is "partial 16S ribosomal RNA". It matches the Rfam family "Bacterial small subunit ribosomal RNA", at positions 30 to 526 of the family's 1533-position model. The record is from RNAcentral.